ACACCUCAACCCUCAUGGUUUGCCAUGAUGGGCUUGGACUUUGGAGGUUUUGCGGGCUUAUGGCCAGCUCCUCUCAAAAAAUUAGCUUACCAGUGUAUGGUGGCAUCAUGGGUGUGAUAAUUAUCUGCGCUUGUGGUUGUCCGCCAGGUAACCUUCAACCUCGGAGGUUUGCUGGGGCUUAUAAAUGUCUCUCCUCAGUGAAGACAUCUUUCUGAAC
This 217-nucleotide unclassified non-coding RNA is filed under the name uncultured Tomentella. RNAcentral's name for it is "sequence contains ITS2". Lineage: Eukaryota; Fungi; Basidiomycota; Agaricomycetes; Thelephorales; Thelephoraceae. The record is from RNAcentral.